GGAAUGGUUAGAAUCAUGUGUUGGAGGACUUGAAGGAUCAGUAGUAGGAGAGUUUUCUGGAUUGGAUGAUACGACCAAGGCGAAACUUUGUUUCGAGCAGUUUUUGUACUCGGAUAUGAUUUUUUGUGGUGCAGGAAUGCUUCCAAAGGACGUUCACAAGCUGCAUUUGGUUGAUCUUAAAGGGCCCUUUGUUCUUCAGGUAUAGUGAAAAUCUAAAUGCCGAUGAAGUUUAUUGCUGUUGUGGUUUCAAUAUGUAAUUUUGUUAAAGCUUUACCGGCG
Molecule: unclassified non-coding RNA, 279 nt
Filed under: Hevea brasiliensis (rubber tree)
Lineage: Eukaryota; Viridiplantae; Streptophyta; Magnoliopsida; Malpighiales; Euphorbiaceae
Source: RNAcentral